Molecule: long non-coding RNA, 1117 nt
Filed under: Macaca mulatta (Rhesus monkey)
Lineage: Eukaryota; Metazoa; Chordata; Mammalia; Primates; Cercopithecidae
Description: lncRNA (ENSMMUG00000050057.1)
Source: RNAcentral
GCAAAGGCCGCUGAUUUCCUACUGCAUAUAACACACCCACUUUACCUAAAGCAGAAAUUAAAGCCAGGAGGCGCCAUCCCUUGUGGGCACCUGAAAAGUACAAAACGAAGUCUGGGGACAGUUCAAAGGCGCUUAAGUUGACCAGUGGCAAUUUUUGUUUCCCGCCCCCCUGCACACGCGAAAGCGCUUGCGCUGCCAUUGGCUCCCGCUGGGGCUUGUGUCCAGAGUAGCAGACAGCCAUGGUGGCCCCGCGGGCCUGGCGCUGACAGACCCUGGAGCAGUGUCUCACAGAGGUCGGCAAAGCCACCGGCUGGCACCAGUGCAUCCUCACGUAAGUGCGCAGAUCCCGAGCUCGGGUGGGACUGAGGUCGCACGUGGACGCGAGUUGCAGACUCCUGGCAAAUUGUGGAGCUAAGGGAAGGUAAGGGGAAAUGUAAACCACUCUUCCCCACAUUUCAGAGUUUAUAGUUUCCUAGGCUAUCAAAAUUUUCAAAAUGGUUAAAAAUUUUUACAGUAUGGCUCUCUCAGUUGAAUGUUAUUGAAAUGAAUGUAACCUCAGUUAUUAACGCCUAGAAGCUCCCCUUGAGGCUUAUUACUGCCCCCAUUCCCCUACACACAAACUGUGUUGGUUUCUCCUUCCGCCUAUGUGCUCCUAAAGCACCCAGUGUUUCACUGUCAUCAUACUUUAUUGAAAGUACAAACUUGUCACUUGUCUGUCCACCCCAACUAAGCUUCUUGAGAAUUAGAACUUUCAUGUCUCUUCCCAGCACAAGCGUUUUAUGCGUACUUUGUUGAAGAACUUCAAAUAUGAUCUAUAAAAUUAUGACCCAUUUAACUCCAACCUCUCCUUUGAGUCCCUGGCUCACAGCAACUACAGACUGAGCUUAGUUGGAAUUCAGUAGCACACAACUGGGAUAUCCGCACUGUAAGGCUUUUAACACUUUUUAAAAUUUUGGUACCCUCAGCAUCGCAAAUUCACUGUGUCCAAAAUAGAGUAGAAUGUUGUUUCUACCCACCUGUACUCUGCCAUCCCCUGAAGUCCUUUCCCCAUGCUCCACCACUCAAGCCUUGCCUAUCGCAGUAAAUGGCAGUUCUGUCUUUCCAGUUGCUCACACAU